GGAUAACUGCUCGAAAGAGCAGCUAAUACCGCAUACGACCUGAGGGUGAAAGGGGGGGAUCGCAAGACCUCUCGCUAUUGGAGCGGCCGAUAUCAGAUUAGCUAGUUGGUGGGGUAAAGGCCUACCAAGGCAACGAUCUGUAGUUGGUCUGAGAGGACGACCAGCCACACUGGGACUGAGACACGGCCCAGACUCCUACGGGAGGCAGCAGUGGGGAAUUUUGGACAAUGGGCGCAAGCCUGAUCCAGCAAUGCCGCGUGCAGGAAGAAGGCCUUCGGGUUGUAAACUGCUUUUGUCAGGGAAGAAAUCCUCUAGGUUAAUACCCUUGGGGGGAUGACGGUA
This 342-nucleotide ribosomal RNA is filed under the name uncultured bacterium. RNAcentral describes it as "bacterial SSU rRNA". It matches the Rfam family "Bacterial small subunit ribosomal RNA", at positions 141 to 477 of the family's 1533-position model. The record is from RNAcentral.